AUUCUCCGUGUCUAUGAGGAAGCUUCUGGACAAAAGGUCAACCUACAAAAAUCUUCCAUCUUUUUUGGCAAAGGUUGUGAGGAUGAAGCAAAGGCGAACAUGAAGCAAACUGUGAACAUAAGUUCUGAAGCGAUCAAUGAGAAGUGUCUCGGCUUACCAAUAGUGGUAGGGCGGUAAAAGGAAGGGUCUUUCAAGUACGUCAGGGAAAGAGCUAGUGCAAAAGUAAUGGGAUGCAAGGGACAAGGAAUGCCUAAGAGGGGUAGGGAGGUGCUGGUUAAGUCGGUGCUCCAAGCCACUCCAACGGUUGCCAUGAGUUGUUUUCAAUUCACCCAGAAAUUGUGCUGGAAUCUGACAUCCAUUUCGUCAAACUUUUGGUGGGGAGCAGAAAAUGGCAAGCGCAAGGUGCACUAG
RNAcentral lists this ribosomal RNA (411 nucleotides) under Triticum aestivum (bread wheat). RNAcentral describes it as "partial small subunit ribosomal RNA". Lineage: Eukaryota; Viridiplantae; Streptophyta; Magnoliopsida; Poales; Poaceae. The record is from RNAcentral.